RNAcentral lists this transfer RNA (76 nucleotides) under Armatimonadota bacterium. Its description in RNAcentral is "tRNA-Glu". It matches the Rfam family "tRNA". Rfam says of the family: Transfer RNA (tRNA) molecules are approximately 80 nucleotides in length. The record is from RNAcentral. Lineage: Bacteria; Bacillati; Armatimonadota.
GGCCCCAUCGUCUAGUGGCCUAGGACGUGGGCUUCUCAGGCCCAAAACCCGGGUUCGAAUCCCGGUGGGGCCUCCA